AUUGAACGCUGGCGGCGUGCUUAACACAUGCAAGUCGAUCGGUAACAGGUGUAGCAAUACAUGCUGACGAGAGGCGGACGGGUGAGUAAUGCUUGGGAAUCUGCCUAUUAGUGGGGGACAACCCGGGGAAACUCGGGCUAAUACCGCAUACGCUCUACGGAGGAAAGCCGGGGACCGCAAGGCCUGGCGCUAAUAGAUGAGCCCAAGUCGGAUUAGCUAGUUGGUAGGACGACG
RNAcentral lists this ribosomal RNA (234 nucleotides) under uncultured bacterium. RNAcentral's name for it is "partial 16S ribosomal RNA". It matches the Rfam family "Bacterial small subunit ribosomal RNA", at positions 30 to 262 of the family's 1533-position model. The record is from RNAcentral.